GACGAACGCUGGCGGCGUGCUUAACACAUGCAAGUCGAACGCUGAAGCUCAGCUUUUGUUGGGUGGAUGAGUGGCGAACGGGUGAGUAACACGUGAGUAACCUGCCUCCUUCUUUGGGAUAACGCCCGGAAACGGGUGCUAAUACUGGAUAUUCACUGGUCUUCGCAUGGGGGUUGGUGGAAAGGGUUUUUCUGGUGGGGGAUGGGCUCGCGGCCUAUCAGCUUGUUGGUGGGGUGAUGGCCUACCAAGGCUUUGACGGGUAGCCGGCCUGAGAGGGUGACGGGUCACGUUGGGACUGAGAUACGGCCCAGAGUCCUACGGGAGGCAGCAGUGGGGAAUAUUGCACGAUGGGCGCAAGCAUGAUGCAGCGACGCCGCGUGAGGGAUGGUGGCCUUCGGGUUGUGAACCUCUUUCGCUAAUGGUCAAGCCGCAACAAUGGUUGUGGUGAGGGUAGUGGGUAAAGAAGCGCCGGCUAACUACGUG
This 483-nucleotide ribosomal RNA is filed under the name uncultured bacterium. RNAcentral's name for it is "partial 16S ribosomal RNA". It matches the Rfam family "Bacterial small subunit ribosomal RNA", at positions 28 to 507 of the family's 1533-position model. The record is from RNAcentral.